RNAcentral lists this ribosomal RNA (433 nucleotides) under uncultured bacterium. RNAcentral's name for it is "partial 16S ribosomal RNA". It matches the Rfam family "Bacterial small subunit ribosomal RNA", at positions 29 to 507 of the family's 1533-position model. The record is from RNAcentral.
AGCGAACGCUGGCGGCAGGCUUAACACAUGCAAGUCGAGCGGGCACUUCGGUGUCAGCGGCAGACGGGUGAGUAACACGUGGGAACGUACCCUUUGGUUCGGAAUAACGCUGGGAAACUAGCGCUAAUACCGGAUACGCCCUUUUGGGGAAAGGCUUGCUGCCGAAGGAUCGGCCCGCGUCUGAUUAGCUAGUUGGUGGGGGAAUGGCCUAGCAAGGCGACGAUCAGUAGCUGGUCUGAGAGGAUGAUCAGCCACACUGGGACUGAGACACGGCCCAGAAUCCUACGGAAAGGAGCAGUGGGGAAUAUUGGACAAUGGGGGCAGGCCUGAUCCAGCCAUGCCGGGUGAGUGAUGAAGGCCGUAGGGUUGUAAAGCUGUUUUGUCCGGGACGAUAAUGACGGUACCGGAAGAAUAAGCCCCGGCUAACUUCGUG